UCCGAUGGUGAACCUGCGGAGGGAUCAUUACAGAGUUGCAAAACUCCCUAAACCAUCGUGGACGCUACCUUCAACCGUUGCUUCGGCGGGCGGCUCGCCCCUGGCGCCCCUGUGGCGCCCGGGCGCGCGCCCCCCGGCCCCCCCGCGGGGCGCCCGCCGGAGGUACCCAACUCUUGGCAAUUUUUGGCCUCUCUGAGUCUUCUGUACUGAAUAAGUCAAAACUUUCAACAACGGAUCUCUUGGUUCUGGCAUCGAUGAAGAACGCAGCGAAAUGCGAUAAGUAAUGUGAAUUGCAGAAUUCAGUGAAUCAUCGAAUCUUUGAACGCACAUUGCGCCCGCCAGUAUUCUGGCGGGCAUGCCUGUUCGAGCGUCAUUUCAACCAUCAAGCCCACGGCUUGUGUUGGGGACCUGCGGCUGCCCGCAGGCCCUGAAAACCAGUGGCGGGCUCGCUGUCACCCCGAGCGUAGUAGCAAUCACCUCGCUCAGGGCGUGCUGCGGGUGCCGGCCGUUAAACCUGCCUUCGUGCACCCCAAGGUUGACCUCGGAUCAGGUAGGAAGACCCGCUGAACUUAAGCAUAUCAAUAAGCGGAGGA
This 593-nucleotide ribosomal RNA is filed under the name Arcopilus cupreus. RNAcentral's name for it is "eukaryotic LSU rRNA". The stretch from base 220 to 373 matches the Rfam family "5.8S ribosomal RNA". Lineage: Eukaryota; Fungi; Ascomycota; Sordariomycetes; Sordariales; Chaetomiaceae. The record is from RNAcentral.